Molecule: long non-coding RNA, 294 nt
Filed under: Zostera marina
Lineage: Eukaryota; Viridiplantae; Streptophyta; Magnoliopsida; Alismatales; Zosteraceae
Description: long non-coding RNA (ZMAR_LNC000197)
Source: RNAcentral
CUUCAGACCAUUGAAUAUGGCGGCCACUUUCACAGCUCAAACACCAAUAGCCGCCUUCUCAAGGUCGAAGUUCCUCUCAGGCAAUUCCAACAGACUGCCUCGCCAAUUCACCAUCACUCCAGCUCGCGUCGCCAAUACCACCACCUCUUUGAGAGUGAGCGCCAAGAAAGGCGAGUGGCUGCCUGGUCUUGCCUCCCCCGGCUACUUGAAUGGCAGGUAUAUAUGUUUGUUGUAGACCAUAGUGACAUAGUCGAUUAAUCUAUCUGUUGUUGUUAUAAACCUAUUGGAUGGGGG